RNAcentral lists this ribosomal RNA (253 nucleotides) under uncultured bacterium. Its description in RNAcentral is "partial 16S ribosomal RNA". It matches the Rfam family "Bacterial small subunit ribosomal RNA", at positions 524 to 776 of the family's 1533-position model. The record is from RNAcentral.
UACGAAGGUCCCAAGCGUUGUUCGGAAUCACUGGGCGUAAAGGGAGCGUAGGCGGACAUUUAAGUCAGAUGUGAAAUACCCGAGCUUAACUUGGGUGCUGCAUUUGAAACUGGGUGUCUAGAGUGCAGGAGAGGUAAGUGGAAUUCCUAGUGUAGCGGUGAAAUGCGUAGAGAUUAGGAAGAACACCAGUGGCGAAGGCGACUUACUGGACUGUAACUGACGCUGAGGCAUGAAAGCGUGGGGAGCAAACAGG